Molecule: non-coding RNA, 696 nt
Filed under: Etrocorema hochii
Lineage: Eukaryota; Metazoa; Arthropoda; Insecta; Plecoptera; Perlidae
Description: 12S ribosomal RNA
Rfam family: Microsporidia small subunit ribosomal RNA (bases 267-685)
Source: RNAcentral
UAGGAAAUUUUUUUAAUGCCGGUUAAAGUCGUGCCAGCUGCCGCGGUUAAACGGGGGGCGUGAAUUAAUGUUGUUCAGCGUGAUAGUUAGGUUGUUGAUGGUUGCAAUGGUUAUUUAAAAGUUGUUAGGUGAAAUUAUUAAUUUUUAUGUUUAAGUUUGGGUUAAAGAUUUAUUGAAACUAUGAAGUUAAGUUUAAGGACUAGGAUUAGAUACCCUAUUAUUUUUAAUGUGAAUAUUCAAUGUUUGUAGGUAAAAUUUGAAGGGUUGGAGUAGUAGGAGAUGUGUUCUUUAAACUCAAAGAAUUUGGCGGUAUUUUAGUCCUUUCAGAGGAACUUGCCCUGUAAUUGAUAGUCCACAUUAAAAUUUACUUGAUUUAGUUUGUCAGCUUGUAUACCGCCGUCGUCAAAAUGUCCUAUUAGGGGAUAAAUUUUUUUUGUUUUUAUUUAAAAAAGAUGUCAGGUCAAGGUGCAGUUUAUGAUUAAGAUAGAGGUGGGUUACAAUAAAGUUAUUUAUUUAUGGAUAAUUAAUUGUAAUAUAUGGAUUAGUUUGAAGGUGGAUUUGAUUGUAAUUUCUAUGAUUGAGUAGAAUUGAUUUCUUGGCUCUAAAGUGUGUACACAUCGCCCGUCGCUCUCAUUUUAAGAUGAGAUAAGUCGUAACAUAGUAGAUGUACUGGAAAGUGUAUCUGGUAAGUUUAAU